RNAcentral lists this ribosomal RNA (382 nucleotides) under uncultured organism. Its description in RNAcentral is "partial 16S ribosomal RNA". It matches the Rfam family "Bacterial small subunit ribosomal RNA", at positions 527 to 896 of the family's 1533-position model. The record is from RNAcentral.
AGAGGUGGCAAGCGUUGUUCGGAAUUACUGGGCGGUAAAGGGCGCGCAGGGCGGGUUCGUCAAGUCCCGUGUGAAAUCCCCCGGCUCAACUGGGGAACUGCGCGGGAAACUAGCGGGCUUGAGUUCGGGAGAGGAAAGCGGAAUUCCGGGUGUAGCGGUGAAAUGCGCAGAUAUCCGGAGGAACACCAGUGGCGAAGGCGGCUUUCUGGACCGACACUGACGCUGAGGCGCGAAAGCUAGGGGAGCGAACGGGAUUAGAUACCCCGGUAGUCCUAGCCCUAAACGUUGAGCAACUGGGUUGGGUUACGGGGGUACUUGAACCCCCCUGUGCCGAAGCUAACGCAUUAAGUGCUCCGCCUGGGGAGUACGGUCGCAAAGGCUG